RNAcentral lists this ribosomal RNA (254 nucleotides) under uncultured bacterium. RNAcentral describes it as "partial 16S ribosomal RNA". It matches the Rfam family "Bacterial small subunit ribosomal RNA", at positions 526 to 780 of the family's 1533-position model. The record is from RNAcentral.
CGAAGGGUGCAAGCGUUAAUCGGGAAUUACUGGGCGUAAAGCGCGCGUAGGUGGCUUGAUAAGUUGGAUGUGAAAUCCCCGGGCUCAACCUGGGAACUGCAUCCAAAAACUGUCUGGCUAGAGUGCGGUAGAGGGUAGUGGAAUUUCCAGUGUAGCGGUGAAAUGCGUAGAUAUGGAAGAACACCAGUGGCGAAGGCGACUACCUGGACUGACACUGACACUGAGGUGCGAAAGCGUGGGAGCAAACAGGACUU